Long non-coding RNA from Bradysia coprophila, 188 nucleotides. The record is from RefSeq and is a predicted model, not a curated record. NCBI's taxonomy places the organism in Eukaryota, Metazoa, Arthropoda, Insecta, Diptera, Sciaridae.
AAAUACGCGCUCUGUGAAGCUAAAGCUAUGCGUCAUCGACCAUUUAGGGGGGUAUAUUGAGAACAUAGUUUUAAAUUCGGAGGCUGCGUAUUUCUGGAGCUUAUUUAAGAUUAAAUUUUGAUGGCAGCACUGAAAAAGCGUUACGUAAUUUAUGAAUGAUCUCCACCUUUUUUUAAAAAGUUCGAUUU